AGUGAACGCUGGCGGUAGGCCUAACGCAUGCAAGUCGAACGGCAGCACAGUAAGAGCUUGCUCUUACGGGUGGCGAGUGGCGGACGGGUGAGGAAUACAUCGGAAUCUACUUUUUCGUGGGGGAUAACGUAGGGAAACUUACGCUAAUACCGCAUACGACCUACGGGUGAAAGCAGGGGAUCUUCGGACCUUGCGCGAUUGAAUGAGCCGAUGUCGGAUUAGCUAGUUGGCGGGGUAAAGGCCCACCAAGGCGACGAUCCGUAGCUGGUCUGAGAGGAUGAUCAGCCACACUGGAACUGAGACACGGUCCAGACUCCUACGGGAGGCAGCAGUGGGGAAUAUUGGACAAUGGGCGCAAGCCUGAUCCAGCCAUACCGCGUGGGUGAAGAAGGCCUUCGGGUUGUAAAGCCCUUUUGCUGGGAAAGAAAAGCAGCAGGUUAAUACCCCGCUGUUCUGACGGUACCCAAAGAAUAAGCACCGGCUAACUUCGUG
This 492-nucleotide ribosomal RNA is filed under the name uncultured bacterium. Its description in RNAcentral is "partial 16S ribosomal RNA". It matches the Rfam family "Bacterial small subunit ribosomal RNA", at positions 29 to 507 of the family's 1533-position model. The record is from RNAcentral.